RNAcentral lists this long non-coding RNA (426 nucleotides) under Capsella rubella. RNAcentral describes it as "long non-coding RNA (CRUB_LNC004402)". The record is from RNAcentral. Lineage: Eukaryota; Viridiplantae; Streptophyta; Magnoliopsida; Brassicales; Brassicaceae.
GAUCUUGACAUAUAGAUAAUUAUGUCCAAAUUGUGAGAUUUCUUUUUUCCGUUGGUAAAGUUUAAUUAAGUUGUAUAUACUGUAUAUACCAAAACAUAGUCAUUAGUCAUAAUGACAUAUAGACAAUUUUUUUGUUUAUCAUUAAUCUGAUGGAAAUAAAGAUAGGCUCGUGCAUGGCACAUGAAAAUGGUAAUCAUUUUUUUUUUUUUUUUUUUUUUUUGCUAAACGAAAAUGGUAAUCAUAAUGUCAAAGUACUAAUACAAUUGCUAAUAAAUCCAACUAAUUCAUCAUAAUAAUUAAAACGAGAUGGCUGGAAAUCAUAGAUUCAUUAACAUGAACUUAUCAUCAGUACGUAUUAAUCACAAAGCGACAUAUGUCUGAGUAAUGAAUGAUCAUCCUUUAUCCAAUUUAUAUAUAAUCUCUCCG